GCUGGGCAUGGGGGCGCAUGCCUGUAAUCCAGCUACUUGGGAGGCUGAGGCAGGAGAAUCACUUGAACCCAGGAGGUGGAGGUUGCAGUGAGCUGAGAUCGCACCACUGUACUCCACCCUGGGCGACAGAGUGAGACUCUGUCUCAA
RNAcentral lists this signal recognition particle RNA (147 nucleotides) under Chlorocebus sabaeus (green monkey). RNAcentral's name for it is "Metazoan signal recognition particle RNA". It matches the Rfam family "Metazoan signal recognition particle RNA". From Rfam's summary of the family: The signal recognition particle (SRP) is a universally conserved ribonucleoprotein. The record is from Rfam by way of RNAcentral. Lineage: Eukaryota; Metazoa; Chordata; Mammalia; Primates; Cercopithecidae.